RNAcentral lists this ribosomal RNA (433 nucleotides) under uncultured bacterium. RNAcentral describes it as "partial 16S ribosomal RNA". It matches the Rfam family "Bacterial small subunit ribosomal RNA", at positions 36 to 507 of the family's 1533-position model. The record is from RNAcentral.
ACCGCCCUCUUUCUUCAUGCCUAACACAUGCAAGUCGAACGAGACCUUCGGGUCUAGUGGCGCACGGGUGCGUAACGCGUGGGAACCUGCCCUUAGGUUCGGAAUAACUCCCCGAAAGGGGUGCUAAUACCGGAUAAUGUCUUCGGACCAAAGAUUUAUCGCCUUUGGAUGGGCCCGCGUUGGAUUAGCUAGUUGGUAGGGUAAAAGCCUACCAAGGCGACGAUCCAUAGCUGGUCUGAGAGGAUGAUCAGCCACACUGGGACUGAGACACGGCCCAGACUCCUACGGGAGGCAGCAGUGGGGAAUAUUGGACAAUGGGCGAAAGCCUGAUCCAGCAAUGCCGCGUGAGUGAUGAAGGCCUUAGGGUUGUAAAGCUCUUUUACCCGGGAUGAUAAUGACAGUACCGGGAGAAUAAGCUCCGGCUAACUCCGUG